Molecule: long non-coding RNA, 214 nt
Filed under: Ananas comosus (pineapple)
Lineage: Eukaryota; Viridiplantae; Streptophyta; Magnoliopsida; Poales; Bromeliaceae
Description: long non-coding RNA (ACOM_LNC013589)
Source: RNAcentral
AGGCUGAGGUGCAUGUGAGACGUCUUUCACCUCGAGCCUGGCUUUACGCGGUAUUUUGCGGAUGAUUGACUCAUGGCUGAGUCAGGUGGAUAGCAUUGUAAAGGUAGAUGAAACCUUAUGAGCAGAUUGUAAAUGAUAUGGAUCUAAGAUAGAGAAAAUCUUGGAGGUCAGUUGGACGAGCUGUAGAUAGCGAGAUAGAAGUAGAAUCAGUAGA